This is a non-coding RNA of Pelobates cultripes (western spadefoot toad), 674 nucleotides long. The record is from the annotation of a GenBank genome assembly. Lineage: Eukaryota; Metazoa; Chordata; Amphibia; Anura; Pelobatidae.
GAAAAUAGUCUUGUACAGUCUUUGAUUUGAAAACUUUCCUUUUCUUACAAACCACCGUUCUUCUAUGCUAAUCUAGAUUCUUUUUUUCUCUUCAAGUUUGUUUUCCCAGUUCCAAAAUAGCUUUGUAACUCGAUUCUUCUCUCUCCCCCCUUGAAGUGGGAACAAAACUUGAAUAGAAGACUGGCAGGCUAGCCAAUGUAAAAAAUAUAGAUGAAUGGAUGUUAAUGUGGACUCUUUCUUAAUUUCUUCUUGUCUUCAGUUGAUUGAUAUAUAUACGUCUUUUGUAUAUAUAUUCUUGGGCCAAAUGCUCGCCACAAUAAUAUAUGUCUAUAUUAUUGAAAAGUAGUAAUACGCAAUCUGACUUACGGUUUCUUCAGGUUUAUUCUUCGUUACGGAUACAUAAAACAUAAUAUAGGAUGUUACAGGAUAAUGGACAUUCAACAGCAGAUGGUAAUUGCUGGACUUCUGAUGGGAGAGUUACAUCGUUGUACAGAGCCAAGCCAAGAGUGACUAGACUGCGCCUGAGAGACCUCGUGUCCCUCUGUUACUAUAUAGAAGUGCUAAUACUAACGUCAGCAUAUAACUCUAGCCAUAUAAGGACAAAACCCCCCACAUCCACAUUCCAGAGCUCUCGGACAAAGAAAGCCUUGUGACUUAUUGAUACCAUCUGUUAC